RNAcentral lists this transfer RNA (70 nucleotides) under Upeneus parvus (dwarf goatfish). Its description in RNAcentral is "tRNA-Met". It matches the Rfam family "tRNA". Rfam says of the family: Transfer RNA (tRNA) molecules are approximately 80 nucleotides in length. Their secondary structure includes four short double-helical elements and three loops (D, anti-codon, and T loops). The record is from RNAcentral. Lineage: Eukaryota; Metazoa; Chordata; Actinopteri; Syngnathiformes; Mullidae.
AGUAAGGUAAGCUAAAUUAAGCUCUUGGGCCCAUGCCCCAAAUAUGUGGGUUAAAAUCCCUCCCUUCCUA